RNAcentral lists this long non-coding RNA (716 nucleotides) under Pongo abelii (Sumatran orangutan). RNAcentral describes it as "lncRNA (ENSPPYG00000041356.1)". The record is from RNAcentral. Lineage: Eukaryota; Metazoa; Chordata; Mammalia; Primates; Hominidae.
GCGGUGCUGAGGGGAGAGGCCGGGCCAAGGGAAGAAGCGUGCGAGAAAGGGUGGGGCGAGUCCAGCUACAGGAAGAGUAGCGUUACUAUGGCAACCCUGACAGGUUUGUGAGCAGCCCCCGGUCCCCUGCCGCUCCGUGAGAAAUCAAACUUCAGGCACUGACGAAGCAUGAAGCCAGCAUCUUAGGAAGAGGUAGUGACAUAAUUACAAGAGAAAUUAAUGUUAUGACUGGAUGAAGACAAUUGUGAAGAAACCGCACUUUGAGGUUGUCUAUCUCUGUAUUCUGAUGGAAAAGCGUGGAGUUCAGAAGCACUGCUCGCUCCUUCAGUUUCUAACAAGUUUGAGACUAUGGUUAGGUGGUGAGGAAGGCAGGCUCAGCACCCAAGCCUUGGGGAGAUGCAGAAAGGGCCCAUCCCAGGCACUCAGGUGGAGGUAAGCAUAGCCUUUGGGCCAUAAGACCUCAUGGCCACUGGGGUGCUGGUCAGGAAACAAGUCCUCAUCUUCCCAGAAAUGUCAUCUUUUGUCUGCAGCAGCUGGCUGGAGAAAGAUUUCAGAAAGGUGUGUGCCUGGGGCACCCAAAGGCAUGACCCUCCUUUCUCCUUGGCAUAGGCCUUACAACACUGGGGAAAGGCCAUGGUUUGCCACUGGAGCCUUCAAUAGUUUUCACCCCUAUGGAUCGAAAAGAUUGUCCAAAUAGAAGCUUAUAUAGGAUGUUA